Molecule: transfer RNA, 87 nt
Organism: Coprinopsis cinerea okayama7#130
Lineage: Eukaryota; Fungi; Basidiomycota; Agaricomycetes; Agaricales; Psathyrellaceae
Rfam family: tRNA
About the family: Transfer RNA (tRNA) molecules are approximately 80 nucleotides in length. Their secondary structure includes four short double-helical elements and three loops (D, anti-codon, and T loops).
Source: Rfam
GGCGGGCUAGCGUAAUGGUUAACGCGCCAGUUUCCGGUGGACUUCCCACUUAGCUGGAGAUUCUGGGUUCGAGUCCCAGGUUCGUCG